GGCAGAGCCUGGAAGGAACCCGAGCUGCUGAGUCGCCCGGCAGGACGCUACCCUCCGAACACCCAGGUGGACUGUUAGUGAACAAGAGGGAAGCUUCUACUGACCUGAGGUGCUAAUAUUUUGGGGUUGUUUGUUACAGCAGUUGGACUGUCCUGAAAGUACUUUUAUGGGCAUAAAGAAGUUAAGAAAUCUGCUCAUGGUCACACAACUAGUAAGAGAUGGCAGAUCUGCAUCCAAGUGGUUUGUCCUUAGAAACCAUGUUACGAAUUGCUGUUCAAUUAUAUUCCCUUUUUAUAAGUUCAUUUUUAUCAUAUAUAACAUAAGCUUUUUCUCUGCCUGACUUACCGUGUUUGAGGGAGGUGGCUGGACAGAGGUCCAGAGUUUGGGAGAGAAGAUAGUUUCUUCAGAUAAAUCACUUGGUUUCACGUCUCUUCAUUAACCAUGGAAAAGGGAGGCUCUGGUGCAUACGCAGCUCCCAGGAAGCCUCUGUUACUCUGUGAAAGUUUACAUUCAGAGGUUCCUCAGGAGUUCUUCACGCUCCAUUAGCAGUCACCCCUCACACUUAGCGGCUUAAAGCACUCAUGCUCUCUCCCAGUUUCCGUGGGUCAGGAGGUCAGGAGAGGCUCAGCCCGGUGGUCCCUCGCGAGGUGGCACUCGGGAUGCCGGCUGGCGCUGCCUCCUCGGAAGGUUUGGUCAGGGCCGGAGGGCUUGCUUCCAGGGGGGCUCACUCACACGGCUGGCAACCGAGUGGGGCUGUCGGCAGGAAGCUUCCUCCCCCCACAGGACUGGCUCACUGCCCUCACAGCACCACGUCUUGCUUCCCCCAGAACGAGCAGGUCCAGAAACCGAGGAGGAGCAGCAUUUUUUGACCAGCACUGUAGCUGCCCAGUGGUGCCACAGGGAACCCUACAGGAGCCGAGAAGCUUCACGGGGAUUUGCCAGUAGGAAUGGAGGUGGGACAGAUGCGAGAAGCUACAUGCCCCCCACCUCAGCCUCUUCUCCCAGGCCUCCACCCCGCAAGGACGGCAGAAGUGCUGGCCGGCUCCUGUGUUUACCGCAUGGUGCUAACACCUCCACUGCCGCCUUAGAAGAGACUGUGCCUAGUUUAGCUGGUAACACCAGCACCGAGCACAGUGCCCGGCUCAGAAGAAGCACAACGAGUGGUUCACUGAGGUGUUAAAAGAUGGGAGUUUCUGUGUAGACAUUAAACAGUUAUUCUCAACCAAGCUACUUACUCAUAAAACCUCAAUUAUUAAUGAUUUUGGGGGGAAUGCAUCUCAGCUAUUCCAACCUGCCUUUUCAAAGUCUAGAGCUGUGUUCCAUCUCUUAGAUUUAAUUAAUGAGCAAUAAUUACUCUGAUUUGCAAGUCCCAAUGCCUAAAGGCAUUUGGAAAAAAGGUACAGUAAUUUUGGAUAAGCAACUCUGAAUACAAAUAGACUUGUGGCUACCCAACAUAAUCCAUUUCCUUUUGAAUGAUCCAUUGUAUUUUAGAACUUAUAAAAACACAUUGAUCUAAGUCUUAUGAAACUUUUGGGGAGAAAGCUGC
Long non-coding RNA from Manis pentadactyla (Chinese pangolin), 1546 nucleotides. RefSeq lists it as uncharacterized. The transcript is spliced from 3 exons. The record is from RefSeq and is a predicted model, not a curated record. NCBI's taxonomy places the organism in Eukaryota, Metazoa, Chordata, Mammalia, Pholidota, Manidae.